Dromaius novaehollandiae (emu) is the source of this 11787-nucleotide long non-coding RNA. RefSeq lists it as uncharacterized. The transcript has 8 exons. NCBI's taxonomy places the organism in Eukaryota, Metazoa, Chordata, Aves, Casuariiformes, Dromaiidae. The record is from RefSeq and is a predicted model, not a curated record.
UCUCUGUCUCAUUAUUGAAGCUUGCAUACAUUCUAUUUUUGUACACACUAUUUUCCAAUUAUCAUCGUUGAGACACCACUACCAUAACUCUACACAGAAUAACAGAGUUACAGGAAUUCCUAAGAAGAGACAUAAGGAGACAAGAGGGCCUGGACUCUUCCAUCUGUUCACCAGUAUGCACUCUACAAGCAACCCACAGAGUUCUUAAGACACAGAAGAAUGAAGCCACCCCAGAGGGGCAGUUACAGUGCUUUAGUGCCCAACAGAUACAGCAAAUCCCAUGAACCAGGCUGACAGAAGCACGUCAGAUGACCUAAGAAGGACAUGUGGAUCUCCGAGAAGUUGCUCUCAGUCUCAAAGAUUUUUUGAGUUAUCCUCGGAAAACCACAUAAUCUUUCCUGACUCCACCUAUCUGUUGUAAGUUUUGUAAGCUCUUCUGACCUCUGGAAUUUUAAGCGCAUCACUUCUCUACAGCAGCAGCAAGAGGGAGAGCUGGGAUUUGCAGGCGGAUGAGAAUCUGGAAAGAGAGUUUCCUUCUAGUUCAGAAGACAGCUGGGUCCCUUCUGCAACAUAUUUCUUUGGUGACUGGAUGCUUCUAGGAACUAACAUGGAAAUAUAAAGUCACGGUGAACCUUGUGACCAUUUCAAAUGUAAGCCAAGGACAGAAAUGGAGAUACUGCAAAGAGAGAGAGAGAGAGAGAGAGAAGUACCAUCAAAGGGAAGGAACGCUCCUGGCUUUUGCAAAGAUCUCCAAAUUCACCACAAGGUUUUAUCCGCACCUAUCAAUUUCAGGUUAAGUAAUGUGAGCUACUUAUCUUUGCAUUAUAAUGCAGAGUUUUCUCAAAGAAACAAAUGGCCCUCUCCCGCAAAUACUCAGACAUCUCCUUAGUUAAUUCCUGCACUCCUCAUCAGACCGCAGAUGUAUGCUGUCCAGCAAAGUGCUAGCUUAUUAUGUGCUCGAAACUGACUUCAGAUAAACAUACUAUAAGAAAAUGUAAGUCCAUUUUUUACCUGAAAAACAGUGGUUUCAUUUUCUUCCCUUGCCUGGGCUCAGUAUCUUGUCCUUAGCAGUUGUUAUGUUCUUGUGACAACACGAAAGCUAAAUAUUAAUGUACUAUAUUCCGGACUGUGUCUCACAAUCGCUCACUAAGUGACGGCGCACACUCCCUGUUGACACAGCGUCACUAAUGGCCAGUCAAGUUACCUGAUCAUAUCUAGUUAUGUCUGUUUGAAACCUUAUCCCGUUUUUCAGGCAGGAUAUACUUUCAGACAUCUGGACAUGUUCAUGAUUUUUCUUAUCACGUUUUCUUCUAAUUCUAUGCUUACUUUUCCAAGUUCGAGCAUGUUCUCGUAAAAUCGAGAAAGAAUACUUACACACCUCUGGUUUUGCUUCCCCAAAACUCGCGACCUCGCGCUGGGGCACACGAGCCCAGGGGAGGCCCCCGGCGGUGGACGGCACCCGAGCCCCGGCAGAAAUCCCGGGCUGACGUCCCCCCCGAGCUUGGAGGCCGCGUUUCCCGAGCGGACAGGCCCUGCACCGCCCGGCCCCACCGCCGUCGCCCGCGAGAGGAGCCCCGGCACGGCGCUGCCUGCGUGCAGCCGCGGUUCCCGUGUGCUUGGCAGCCGGGAGGACAGCGAGCAGGCCAUCCGCCACCCUGGGUAACCGGUCGCUCAGGCACCUGAAAUCGGAGCUGGUCGCCUUUCCGAAAGAGAGUCUAAUUUAACUAGAAGUGCUUGGGGCUGAUACAGAAAUUUUGGGGCAAAACAGUGUGGCUGCUGUUAUGCAGCAGGUCAGUCUAAAUGCCGGUCUCUUUUCAUCUUACGUGCAUACCCGGUAGGCUAUAACUGCGUACUAACUCUUCCUUUUAUUUUGCAGGGCUGAGCAUUUCUGGGUAGAGCUAUCCUUCUGCCUCCCAAGUAGCUGGUCAGAAAGAGAUCUUAAAACACAUUGUUUCACGUAAAAAAAAAUCCCAUGUUCUGCUUCCAGCAGCAGCCGCAGCAGCUGAUGUGGUAGGAGAGAGCUGCCCAGGUCUUCCUUGGGUUAUGGACGGGUUUCCUGCACAGCUCGCUAGGUCAGGGCAGGCCCGCACACUUGCAUCAGUGCCAGGGAUGUUGCUGCUGAUCGGGUGCACUGAACCGCGGUAGAUCAGCCGCAUCCAUGUCAGAGGAGCAUGUCCAGGACCAGAUACAGUUAACAUGGCUCUAUUUGUGGAACAAAUGGCACCAGAGAGAGAUUUAUAAUCAUUUCAAGAACAGACGAAACAGUAUGAACAGAUGGAGCCCCCAAAAUGCUAAGAUACUCUUUACAUACAAAUACCUUCAGUGGCAAGAAAAAAAGAGAAAUUCAGAAAAUAAUAGAAUGAAAUAUAACAAACAUUUUAUUCUGAGUGGAGCCUUCCUGCAUUUCCUAUGGGAUUCAGCUGAGCGGGGGAAGAUGAAAAAAAAAGGAACAGAGACUGCUUGCAAGACAGCACAAACCUUGAGUGCCAAGAACAUGCUCCAGAUUUUUUUAAAGAUGCCUGGCUCUUAUCUGAGCCCUGAUUCACCACAGUUUAUUCUCAGAAUUACUUAGAAUUCAAGGACCUUGCUCCUCCUGGGCUAAUGGGUUAUGUUCAGCACCAAAACUCAUGAGACAAAUAGCAGCUUGAUUAUUCAAUCCAGACUGUCUCUGGUGGUUAAUGGAAAUAAAAAUAGCAACAGCAACAAUUACAAUCUACGUUUGAUAGGUGAAAAGAAUUUUUCUUUUAACUGCAUAGUCCAGGGCUGUGCAUAGGGAGGAGGCGCCCAUAUAAAUGAGGGGUUGUGUUGUUUGUGGCAGAAAAGAUUAGCAUGCACAUGACUGAAGAGGAGGAAAGGGAAAACACUGUAGAGGUGAAGAACAGUGGUAAAUGUGUAAUGCAGCACUGAAAAGAUGCAAGAGAAAAACAUACCAAACUAGAAGUCUCCUCCUAUCUAGAGUCCUGCUAUUCCAUAGCAGGAAUUAAUUUGUAGGGAAGAAGCUGCUAUUCGCAUAUCACGGGCUGAUAAUGCUAGCAAGAAAAAUGCUAAAGUGAUAUGAUUACCAUAAUUACUAUAUUUCCUCAAAAAAUGUGGUGGUUUUCUACGCUGAAUUUUGGUCAAGCAGCUGUUACCUGCAUUUGUGCCUGGUGCCAAUCAGGAGCUAAUGCCACAUACUGCAGGUAUACAGUGCAAAUGCAGUGUAUUUCCCACUUCAGAUGAACCAGUCCUACAUCAUGUCAGAGCACAUUGCAAACACAGGAGCACAUAGUAUUAUUCACAGCUUCUGCUACAAGUCUUUUGUGUAUAGCUAACCAAAAAUAAAAUGUCAAACCAACCCUGGCAAUUUAUCCCGCUCUGAUGGCAAACUAAGCCAGGGUAAAGGGGUCUAAAAGGAAGGUUUCUACAACAAGCCUAAAUUAGGGUGAAAAGAGGCAAGUCAAAGAAAUAAAGAGGAACUUUUUAAGCCCAAUUCAUCACCAAAUGCAGCACAGCUGUGUGUAGGAGGUAUCAAAUUAGGGUAAUCAUUCCCAAGCCCCCUUGACUUUGUGUCUGGCUGUUGCUGCUGAGGGGAAGGGGCUCUGCCAGCUGGAGGAGGCUGUAAAGCCCUGCUGAAACAGGUAUCUCUGGUUUUGGAUAAGGCUUAAAGCAAAACAGCCUAAAUGACUUGCUCAGCUGAUGGAACCUAGCAGUCCAGUCUCUUGCCUUCCCCCUCUGAUUUGCUGCGGUGACUGGUCUGGCUCAGUAGAUUUGGUUGAAAUGUUCAUUCAAAACUGACUUUAGUUUAAAAAUUGCAAGAAGGAGACACUUUAAGCCAAAAUAUUUGUGAUUUUUUUUAACCUUUAAAAUGUUUCACCUGUAAAGUACACAAAACAGUUGAAAAACUAAGUUUGGGUUCAAGUUCUGAUUCACCCCCAGGUUCUUAUUCAUUCCUUCCCCCAUUUUUUUUUCCUUCUUUUUUUUUUUUCAUUGUAUCAUUGAAAAGGAAGGGGAGGCAAAGGGAAAAUAAAAAUAAUGGAAAAAAUGCUGAAAUAUCCAUAUACUAGGUUUUGUCUUUUUGUAUAAGCAUGUGGCAAAGUUGGCUUUAUUUCUUGAAGCAUUUCAUAAGAAAGAACAUUUUUAGCUGUACGCUUUUUUCACUCUGGUGUCUCCUACUGCUCACUCAUCAGAUUAAGGUUAAUAUUUGCAUGACUGGGGAAUGAAAGGAGUGUUCUUAGUAGAAUUAGCAUAGCGGAUGCAUUGUCACUCGGAUAUUGAAGGAAAGGUAGCGUGCGAUCAUUUUGUCUUGGGCAGGGAAGAUAAAUGUUUACCGCUUGUGUGCCACUAGAUGCAAAGGACUGCUCUGAAAAUGACAGUGGAGGAAAGGGAGUUUUGUGCUUGUGUCACAGGAGGAAAAGGAUUAGUGUGCAAAUGAUGCUGGAGGAAGAGGAUUAGGCUGUGUAUGACACAGAGAAGAGAGGUCAUUGUAGAUGCGUUGUGAGAAGAGCAAGAUAGUGCGACACAGGGUGGAAAGGACUCUGGAACUCAAAAAGAAAACGAAAAACGAAGAGGAACUACUGUUGUGCAGGUGUGAUUGGAAGAAAAGUUUUCUUGUGGGCAAAAACAAGUAAAUAAAUAAAUGUCUGGAUUGCUAAGCAAAGGAACACAAUUUAUUUCACAGCCAAGCACCUAAAUUUUUCAGGAAAAAAAAAAAAGGCCUCAACUCCACAGAGUGCUGUACCACUUACUGGUUUAGAGGAAUAUACCAUUUUCACAUGUAUUUUGAACAGUAGUUGAAUAACAGUAUCUCAGAGAGACUCUGUCAUCUUGACCUCAGCUUCGCUACCAACAAGGAGUUGGCCCCUUCUGAGAUUUUUUUUGUCCCUUUAAGGAAGAGUGCCUCACAAAUCACCAUAUCUUCCUCAAGGAAUAAGAAUUUUUUCCUCAAAGAUGCACAGAGUAAACCACAAGUAAGACAGGGUGCAACAUGCAAGCACUGUAGGUCUGGUGAGCUUCCAGUGCUUUUCUUCUUGGUUAGGAUUUCCAGUCUCCCUGCUCUAAGAUAGAAGGUGUCCAUCUACACAUUAACAGAGAAGCAGUGCAAGCCUAAGCAGAAGAUUUUAUGUUUCCUUAAAAAAAAAAAUCCCAUUCCUUCAGAAAAGUAACUAUGAAGCAAAAAGUUUGCACUCUCCUUAAGACACCGGGGAGCAGUAUUUCAGCCGUUCACUCUAUCCAAGUACAAAUUCACCUUUCCAUCACAUCGCAACACCAGCUGCCAUGCCUCUGCUUUUAACUACCUUUUUGUAAGGAAUUAUAGGUGAUGGCAUGUGUUUUGGGUUAAAGCUGUGGUGCACUGCUUUGUUUUUGUACAAUAAGAAAGAAUAAGGAAGAUGUGAAAAUGUGAAUUAUUUCUACUUUAAUUAUGGCAGGUUCUGGUUCAAGACUUCCCCAUUGUUUUGGGGGUGGUUGGCUGGUUUUCACACAAUGAUCCUGACAUACAGUUACUCAUACCAUGUCACCCUCAAACGCAGUGCAACACUUUGUACCAGGAACGGCAUUUCAGAGAGGGUGAAGCUGGGGUCAAAUGCAUUCCUGCUAAUUGCACUGAUUGCAAGAGGUAUUCCGUGACUGAGUUUCGUCUCUGAUGUUAAAGGAGGUAGCUGCUAAUUGCUUUUAAGGAAGACUCAGAAAAAGGAAUGGGAGCUGGACAGUAACUCCCAGCCCAAGUGUAUACACACACACGCACAGAUAAGCACUGCUAAUCUUUUUGGGAGUGUGGUAUGUGGGGAGUACAUGCAGGUCAAACUAUGCAGGGGCUUGGAAGGGGAUACAUGAACAACCAGUGAUGGAAAAUGUGUUUCUGUAUGUCCAUCCAUUUUGCGCUGUCGGUACUGACCGUGUGGAAGACCACUGAUAUAUUGAUGUGAUUUCUUCAAAGCUGCAGUUAGUAAAGUGUCAGGGCUGCUGGCUAACUUUUGCAGUGUUUUUACAGUCUCUGUGACUGCCUGUCUGCUAUUACUGUGACCCUAUCAGGUAGCAUGUAGUUCUGCUUCCUGAUCUGGCUUUCUCUUAUAAUUUUCCUGUUUCCUAUAAUCUCUCCUUGAAUUGAAAAUUUCACAACUAGGCAAGGAGAACGCUUCAAAGUCUAGUUCAUGUAGAAUAUCACACAGCAGUCCUGGCUCAUUGGAGUGCGAUGUCACAAGGAAAACCCAUUUAGGAUUUUGAUAUAUUAGGAAAAUAUAGCAUAUAUUAAAAUAUAGGUAUAUAUUUAUAUAUAGGAAAAUAUUAGGCUAUAUUAGGAAAUUUAGGAUUUUAUAUAUUAGAGUAAGCCUCACCUCAGGAUCCUAUUGUAAUUAUUUCCUUUUUUUCCACUUUUCCCAAAAAUGCUUGCUCCCAGAACCUUUCCUACUCAGCGGUCCAAAUUCUGAAAACCCUAUUUGCCUGGAGCAAUAUCUUUGUUUUAUAAAUAUUUCUAUUGGCUGAGUCAUCCAGUACCUUACUUCUCAGAAGAGUGCAGUCCUGCAGAGGAAGGGAAAUUGCAUAAGGUUUGGGAAGGUUUGUCAGCUUGCUAGAAGAGUAAGUGUAUGGGGAAGAUAUAGGGCAAUGUAUUUACUAAGCUUCCUCAAGCUUGGUCUGAAAUUCAUGAAUGAGGACAGCUAGAAACCUAAGACUUGGUUUGCAAUAACCUGAGAAACAUGAAUAUUUUGCAGAGCUUUUACUAGUGGCCACCUUCGCAGAGGGAGGAAGUUGCAGUCUAUCUUGUUUGAAGAGUUAUUCUAUCCUUGCAGAAAGAACGGAGGCCAUAAAUAAGAUUUUGUCUGACAGGAGUUUUGUUUUGAGUUGUUGGGAGGGCACAAUAAAACUGUAAGGCCGAUUUUCUGCACAGAGCUCCAGCUGUCAUUCUCCUUUGAUUGCUAUAUUUUAUCAGUGGGCAUGUGAAGGCCAGGCUCUCGAUUGAAGCUCUUGGCUUUUGACAGAGUGCAACUCCUCAUCCUCAAGUAUGCCUCUGUAAGUACAGUGAUUCCAAUACGCCUUUGCUGGAUUAGACAGUGAGGGAGAGAGGAAGGAAAUUAUCCUAGCAGUUAAAGUUCAGGGGUCUGAUUCACUGCUCAGCACAGUCAGGGACAGGCUCUCCAACGCCUUCAAGAGGAAAGGGACAGGCAUAAGGACCAGCAUGAGUCAGUGCAAUUCUGCCGUGCGCAAAGGAAGGGAUAGAGUAACGCUUGCUAAGAAUCGGAUUCUGAACAACCGGUCACGUUUGAAACAUACUUGUAACAGUUAAAGGUUACCUAAAAAAAGUGACUUAAAUAAGACUGACUUUAAUACUAUUCCUUAUAAAGGCUCUGCAAAAUAGCUACAGUGCACGUUGCAACCAUUCACCUGUGCUGGUGUGUGGACUGAGCUCAGGCUUCAUUAUACACUUCCCAAAAGACAGGCAGUAACUGUGGAGCAAGUUUUGUACUGGAAUCAGGAGAAACUCCAAGUUUUGACCUGAAGGUUGUCUAGUUUAGAAGGAGCCAAAGUUCAUUUGAACCUGGUAUCUAUAAGCAAAAUCAACAUAAUCCUCUCCCAAACAGAAAAUGUGAUUACCAAUUGCAUGCAGAUGGCAUCAGCCUUUCAUUAUGAGUGCAGUGACAAAUACUUGAGGCAAUGUUUCUGAUGAUACUGCUGAGCAUCCAUAGCUGGACAAGAGUGGUUGGCUCUGGCCCCAUAAAAGCUGUGCUCGGAUGUUUGAGUACUGGGGUCAGCUCACUUAGCGUCGAAUCUGCUUUUUACUAAUGCUUUCUCCUUCUGCAGAUAGGAACACUAAAGGCAGGCAGCAGUAUGGCUGCUUUUCUGUUAGGUAAAAGCCUGAUGAGGUGCUUGCUGGCAACAAGGCUGAGCAUGACCUGGUUAAAGGGGAUCGUGUCACCCAGAGUUUUUCCCUGAUUUUGUUCUUCCCAUGGGCUGGUAUUUUGCAACCCAAGGUUUCAGUUCAGAUCCACUGCUCAGAGACACAUUUGAAAACAAGGCAGAGGGAAAUAAUUUUUCUCGAUAACUCACCUCUGUUGUCAGGGAUUCUAUUUUCUCUCCUAAAGAUGAUGAAAUUGCUAACCUCAAAAGCUCCCUGCCCUUCAUUUAGGGAUUAGUGACUUCAUCAACACAGGCAGAACAAACACAGCUCUGAACUUAGAGGUUGGCAGGUUCAAAGCUUUCCAGUCCAAGGUGAGAAAAUAAGGAAACACUUCCAGCAGUGAUAGUAUUUGAGCCUUUUAAUAAAUGAAGGGACCUACAAGCUGAUGAUAAAGGAUUUGGAACCUAUUGGCCAAGCUCAUCGCUGGUGUAAGCCUGCUGUUUUUCCAAUCCAAACGAUGGAAAAGGGGCAAACAAGAAAUCCUUGGUAGCAAAUGUGAUUAGAUGAAGCAAACAGUAAAGACUCCACUGUAACUGCAGUUUAUCAUGCAAUUAGUUUCUUAACAGCUUCACCAUUCAGAUGGCCUCUUCCUUGGCACAGUGCCAUGCCAGCCAAAUAAAUCAGCUUUACAUACACAACCACCGAUCAGAUCUGCACCUCCAGACCUCAGGGGCUGAACUAGGAGGCUAAAUUGUAAGGGAGAAGGAAAAGGCGCCUGGAUAGGAGGGUAGAAACAGGACAAGAAGAAAGGAGGAUGUAGCCAUAUAGCGCUGAACUAAUACUACGAGGUAUCCAAGAUCUCUACAGGAUCAAAAGAGCUUGUCGACAGCAUUCUGUGAGCCAAGGCCCUGCUAUCUCUGGCUCUAUCACCAAGGGCAAAGGGGCUCAUCUGGAAUAAUGGUGAAGAGGAAUGCAUAUUUAAUUAAUGAAAUCUCUGCCCCCCAAAUCAUUAGAGGGCCCAAAUCAUUAAGAUCCAACCCCGGCUGCCCCUAAUCAGCAAUAUUUCAGGCAUGCUGUGGCUGACUGUUUUGAGCAGGUAUGGCAUGUGGUGCUUCAUCAUUGCCAAGGUUGGGUAUGUCACUAACAAAGUAGAGUUGACUUUUGUGAUUGCUGUCUCGCACGUGAAGUGUUGUGAAUGGAGUAGUGAGCAGACGACUUCUCUGCUCACACGAAAGCUGCCGUCUUCAGAAGAUGACUGUUUGGAAAGAAAGCCAUCGUUCUGAAGCGGUGCAAAACUGAGACUACCAAGCUCUCAGUGAGAACACCUGCGGGAGACCCAGCGAGGAGUCGGUCACUGGCAGAGCACGUGGUAGCAGCCCCGGCGUGUGAAACCACGCACUGACCAAAUCCCCAUCAGGGCCAGGCCGGCAUACUCCGCGUGGUCAGCAACGUGGAGCCGCUUCCCGGGCAGCAGCUGCUCCCGGUUAGCGCAGCUGAGAUAAGGAGACAGCUCUCGUAGAUCUGAGGGGCCCUUAGGAGCAAUGAGUCGAGUCUGACCGAUACCUCCAGCAGCCUCCCAUCGCGACCCCUCCUCGGGGCUCCCGGGGCAGUCUGUAGUGUGAGUCCUGUAUUAAAUCUAACCUAUUUAACCCCUUAUGAACCUUGAGUGUCUCUCUCUGCCAGCAUCCGACCCUCUCUUGCCCACCCUGUGGUCACACCUGUAAACGUUAUUUUGUCAAAAAAAAUUUACACGCACAUCUGUCAGUUGUGCAAAAAGAAGCUUGCUGUAGAGAUGCUUAUUUUCUGAAAUGGGUCAGGUUCUAUUUCAACACUGUCAUCUCAAUAUUUAUUUUCUCUUAUAUGAUUUUAGAAGGUAUAGAAUAGAAAAGCAAAAGUAAAAAUCAGAACCAAACUUCCGACUGACUCGAAGCACACAAUGCCAGCAUUUCAUUACUCUAGGCAUUUUCAUUUGCUUUUGGAUUUUUUUCCACUUAUAUAUGGGAAAUAAAAUUAAUUUCAAUUUCACAGAAUUGAAAAUUCUUUUUAAGGCAGCUGUACUACUUAGUGCUCAGCUAACUCUGGGAAAGCUUCCCCUGACUUCAUAGAAGCAGACAAUAUGAUUUAAAACAGGGGCCAGAUACUUUUUGGUGGUUGCAGACAGGGGAGCAGAAUGGACAUUUCCGGUAACAUAUGCAAGGGCUGAUUGACCAAAACACGAAGCUUUCCUUCUCUCUGUUUUUCUUUUCUUUUAUUUUUGUGUGUGUGUGUGUGUGUGUGUGUGUGUGUGUGUGUGUGUGUGUGUGUGUGUGUGUGUGUGAAAACUAACCAAUAAGUUGCUUUGCAAAAACAGUUUUGAUCUAACUAAAAUGGGGAAAGAAAUUAUAUACAUUCUUUGGGGAAGUGUUAAUAUGUAACAUGCCUUAUAGCUUCCCUAGAACUGUGGAAAGGAAGGAGUAUUCUUGCAAUAACAUUUUGGGAUUAACUGAACUACUUUGCCCAAGGCAUGAUUUAAGUUACUUUCUUAUUUAACACAAUUUGUGUUUUUGUUUGCAUAAGAAAUCCUGCUCUGCAACUAUUUCUAGUGAAAUACCACUGAAGCCAGUGAGCUUACACCAAAGAUGAAUUUGCUCUCCUCCCAUUUUCCUCACUUUAUUUAUUUGCCUUGGAAACCAGAAUUACCCACAAUUAGUUAUCUAUCAGUUCUAAAAAUCUGGCAGCACUUUGGAAAAGCAUUAGAAGCUGAUCACAAGACUUCCUGCUCAUGUUUAUACCUGUCAACCCAAAGCAGUGCAAGAGCCAUGAUUGUUUCAAUUGAUACUUGCAGGUAAAAUGAGCUGCCCUGUAAACCAGCUGAAUUAAAACUAAGAAGUAGCAUUUGCAUAUUAAUACCUAAUUUCUCCACUCGAAUUCAUGCAGUGGAACUGCCAUUAACUCAUAAUCCAGAUACUGAAGUGCUUCUGGUAAUAAAGAGACUUUGCACCCUGCGUUUGGCUUCAGCGGGAACAGCUUGGGGCUUUCAGAAGCUAAGGCGUUUGCCCUAUGUUGUGGCAACUUCUGUUUUUCUAUCUAAAACAAAGGGAUAUUUUUUAAUGAGGGAAAAAGAAAGGAUAUUGGUCUACCAGUAAGUCUGGAGACCUAUCAUCAGCCUGUUCAGUAUUGCUAAGAUGCUGUUAUACUCAUCUGUCAUCAAAUCUAAGGAUAUUUUAAGAUAUGUUUAAUCUACUGGAGGAAAGGGACCUACCCUGUAAAAUCAAAUCAGUAUUCUGUAUAACACUGAUUUUCAAAUUAUAGCUGAUAAAGAUACAGUUGUAAAUUAUUUUUAAAUACUUAGUUGUAUUUAUGUUUGUACUUCUAAUAACAAAUUUUCACAUUUUGAUGUCUUCUGGCCAGCUGUGUUUAAACUGAAUCCACAGGGAGUUAGGACUCUUCACAGCAGUCCUGACCUAAAAUCAAAUUUCAGUCUUACUGACAACAGUAUAAAUCAAAGUAACUUCAGUGAGGCCAAGGGAGUUACUCUGGAUUUACACCCCUCAGUGUAACAAAUAUAAAAAGUGAAUUAGUUCCAAUUAGGACACUGUUCAAUUAUUUUCUCUCUGAGAACAUGAUGGAAAUGUUUUUCUCAUUUGUAAUAAAAAUCAUUCUACUGUUUGUACAUCUUCAGUAAAGUGUGCAUUCAAUUUUGAACAGAAAUCCAGUUUUUUAUGAAAAUGGAAUUUUUAGAUUUUUACGAAGAAUUCCAUUUACAUGAAAGCUCUUUUCUUUAGAAAAACUGUUGUGAGGGAAACUUUCUGACCUGCUCUAAGCCUGACUCAUAAUUCAUACAAAUAAGACACUGCUCAGCAGAUGUUCAGGAAGAAGCAGGCCAGUAAGAAACCUAAAUGACACAGGCAUUCCCAUGUGGUUACGCUUGAGGUUCCUGGUGCUAAAAACAGGAAGGAUGGGCCAGUCGCUAAGAUAGUGUGUGAGCCAUGAGAGUA